This 319-nucleotide ribosomal RNA is filed under the name uncultured Glomeromycotina. Its description in RNAcentral is "LSU rRNA". Lineage: Eukaryota; Fungi; Glomeromycota. The record is from RNAcentral.
UUGAAAGGGAAACGAUUGAAGUCAGUCGUGCCAGCGAGAAAUCAGCUCACAGGCUACUGUGGGUGCACUUUUUCGCAAGGCAGGUUAACAUCAAUUUUGGUGAUCAUAAAAUGACUGGAGGAAUGUAGCUUCGAUCUUGUAUUGAAGUGUUAUAGCCUUCGGUAGAUGUGAUGAUCGAGAUUGAGGAUUGCAACGGAAUCCUUCGGGGCUACCUGUCUGGUCUCUGAUCGUUGCUCUGGUGCCGAAAGCUUGCUUACGGUUAUCAAAGUCGAUGGUCAAUAGGUUAGAACGGGUUAAAUUCGUUAAGGAUGUUGACGUA